RNAcentral lists this ribosomal RNA (253 nucleotides) under uncultured bacterium. RNAcentral describes it as "partial 16S ribosomal RNA". It matches the Rfam family "Bacterial small subunit ribosomal RNA", at positions 524 to 776 of the family's 1533-position model. The record is from RNAcentral.
UACGAAGGGGGCUAGCGUUGCUCGGAUUGACUGGGCGUAAAGAGCGUGUAGGCGGCCGUACAGGUCAGCUGUGAAAACUCGAGGCUCAACCUCGAGACGUCGGUUGAAACCGUACGGCUAGAGUCCGGAAGAGGAGAGUGGAAUUCCCGGUGUAGCGGUGAAAUGCGCAGAUAUCGGGAGGAACACCAGUGGCGAAGGCGGCUCACUGGACCGGUACUGACGCUGAAGCGCGAAAGCGUGGGGAGCAAACGGG